Molecule: non-coding RNA, 1939 nt
Organism: Rattus norvegicus (Norway rat)
Lineage: Eukaryota; Metazoa; Chordata; Mammalia; Rodentia; Muridae
Source: RefSeq, a predicted model, not a curated record
GAGCGCUUGCCUAGCAAGCGCAAGGCCCUGGGUAAUAAAAUGCUCCUGAGAGGAGAAGGCGGCUGUUCAGAGCUUUAUGCACAGGACUCAGGUCCUCGGCACGAACAGCAAGUGCUCUUCAGCCCUGGGUUGGCUCUCUGAGCCCACACCGCUCUGCUUUCCUUAGGUCUCUAGAGUUGAUGUUCCGGUCGUGACUGCUCCCUGAUUCUCUGUUGUCUAUCUUGUCUGCUGUGGAGCAAGCAGCUCAGCCUUCCGCAGCGACUCACUUCCCGGUUCUCCAGUGCCCCCUUGUGACUUCCGGUCUCACAUUUGGGCAAGAAUAACACAGAAGCGAUUUUUUGUGUCCUCAGAGCCUCAUGUUGGGAGCCACAGGAUGCUGAUUACCCCAUAACUGAUGACACUCGUCUACACUAACAACACAAGAAGAGACUAACCCAAGGGGAAAGGCAGCCCAGAGUUCCCAACCAUGUCCCUGCAUCUGUGUAGGCAGAGACCUUUACAAUGGAGGCUUCAUGGGACCUGGGCACCUUUGGGAGUUAUAGCUGGAGUUACAAGUAUGGCAAGCGUCUGGACCUUGGUUUGAGUUUUUCUGUUGGCCUGCGGCUGGAAGAUCCUGCUAUCCUAAGCUUGGAGUGAGCCUUGUAGGCAAAUCAAGUGAGCUUACAGUUGGUCCUCUUUGGAGCCUGGGGCUUUUUAACCUCAGUAGGCUUUGCCAAGGCCUUGAUACCCUCAAGAGUGCACUCAUGACCUUGGUCUUGGUUUCUGUGACUUCUUUAGGUCCCAUGAUUCUUGGCAAAAUGCAUGUUCCUUAGGAGCUUUCUAUCUGCCCUCUUAGGAGGCUCAUCUCUGUCCUUGUGGCUGGAAAUGUUUGCAUAUCUGUGGCAUAUGUGUGUAAGGGCAUCUUUUCUGUGAGUGCACAGCAUGUGUGCCCAGGAGGACACCAGAAACUACAGGUUUCCCCUAUGGCCAGUGAACCCCCAAGACCCACCUUCCUCUGCCUGCCAGCACUGAGGUUACAGAUCCACCACAUUUUUACACGCUGCUGGGAAUCCAAACUUCAGCUCUCAUCUUGUCUGUUUGAGGAAGGCUCUUGUGUAGCAGAGGCUGGUCUCAAACUCAGUGUUGACAUCAGGAAUGGGCGAGGUGGUCAAGCUCCCGUGCUGACUCUGCUGAUGAAAAUGAGAGCAACCGCAUCAGGUUACCUCGCAGGGUGAUAGGCCCUCUGUGAGAGUCAGUGCUCAAGAGGCUUGUCUGUACAGUGACACCGUCUAUAGAAAACUUAAAGUCUGAAAAGGCAGGUGUGCUACAAGUGAUUGGAGUGAACCAGUUGUAGUCAGCUGUUCAACAUCAUCAGACAUGUUCAGAUACAGUAACGCUACAAAGAAAAGUAGGGAGGAGCAGGAGGGCAGGAAGAGAACACUAGGGUUAUGCUCUUCCAGUCAGAGAUGCUCUAGCAUUGAUCUUUGUGCAAAUAAGCAGUUUUAGAAAGAUGUUUCAGGGGUUGAGGAUUUGGCUCAGUGGUAGAGCGCUUGCCUAGGAAGCGCAAGGCCCUGGAUUCGGUCCCCAGCUCCGGGAAAAAAAAAAAAAAAAGAACCAGAAAGAUGUUUCAGUGGUUAAUUGCACUGGCUGCUCUUCCAGAGGACCUAGGUUCAAUUCCUAGCACCCACAUGGCAGCUUGCAACCAUCUGAAUCUCCAGUUCUAGAGGAUCCAACCCCCCUCUUCUGGCCUCCAGCAGCACCAGGUAUACACAUGAUGAACAUACGUACAUACAAACCAGACAUCCAUAUUCAUACAAAAUAAAGCAAAUAGGGCCAGGGGGCAGUGGCACACACCUUUAGUCCUAGCACUUGGGAGGCAGGUGAAUCUCUAUGAGUUUUGAGGCCAGCCUGGUCAACACAGCAGGUUCCAAGACAGCUAGGGCUACACAGAGAAACCAAA